Molecule: transfer RNA, 72 nt
Filed under: Polytoma uvella
Lineage: Eukaryota; Viridiplantae; Chlorophyta; Chlorophyceae; Chlamydomonadales; Chlamydomonadaceae
Description: tRNA-Trp
Rfam family: tRNA
About the family: Transfer RNA (tRNA) molecules are approximately 80 nucleotides in length. Their secondary structure includes four short double-helical elements and three loops (D, anti-codon, and T loops). Further hydrogen bonds mediate the characteristic L-shaped molecular structure. tRNAs have two regions of fundamental functional importance: the anti-codon, which is responsible for specific mRNA codon recognition, and the 3' end, to which the tRNAs corresponding amino acid is attached (by aminoacyl-tRNA synthetases). tRNAs cope with the degeneracy of the genetic code in two manners: having more than one tRNA (with a specific anti-codon) for a particular amino acid; and 'wobble' base-pairing, i.e. permitting non-standard base-pairing at the 3rd anti-codon position.
Source: RNAcentral
AGAAGAUUAGCUCAACGGUAGAGUUCUCGUCUCCAAAACGAACGGUUGAGGGUUCAAAUCCCUCAUCUUCUG